GGACAUUUUAACAUUUAAACGUUUAGAGAAACACAUCUCUGAUCAGUCUUCUGCAUUGUACCCACAGAUCCUUUUCACUUCCACACGUCCACACGUCCCCCAGCAUCCACUAAACAGAUCAGAACAACAUCCAGCACAUCUGAUCCCCGAACAUCAGAAACAUCAUCUCUAUUCUGUGUUCGAGUGUGAUGUAAAAUCACUGAAAACAUAUUCAAAUAUUUCAGGUAAAUCAUUCUUAAGUACUAUUCAGAUUUAGAUUGAUCUUUAUAGAUUUUAUACUGUCAUAUAUAUUUCUGCACAAAGAAAUGUCUUUAUAUAUUUAAAAUUAAUGAAUGACACCUUUGUGUAUGUAGGCCUAAUUUAUUUAGUGUAAAUUAUCACUUUUUUUUCUUCCUCUUCUUUUCUUUCCUCUCCUUUCUGGCUUCUUGAUUGCUGAAGGUUCAUAUUUUGCUGGCUGCAGGAAUCACAAACCUGGCUGUCUGGUUACUGUCAGCAACUAGUGGGAGGCGCCAGUUUUGUUUUAUUUUUCCUGCACUGACGUCACAGAAUUUAAAGCUGCACACACAGUUUUUUAGUGCAUUUAAUUCAUAACCUGUUGUUUUCUGGGGGCUCCAUACCAGUCCAGCUCGGGGCCCUAGGCAAUUGAAAGGUUUGCUUGCCUUGUUGCAAUGAGCCUGCCUAUAAAGACUUUGACCACCACUGCUUUGCAUGUUAUAGUGCCACAUAGAGAAAACCUGACAUAACUUACCUGCUUAUUCCCAACCCAUACAUCACCAGUUAUUAUAAUUAUAUAUUACAGCUCUGGAAAAAAAGAGACCACUUAAUGAUGAUGUUUUUUUUCUUGAUUUUGCCAAAUUAAAAACCUCUAGAAUAGAAUCAAGAGGGAGAUGGAUGAUCACAAGCUAUCAAAUAAAGCUGAACUACUUAAAUUUUUGAGUGGCA
Molecule: long non-coding RNA, 942 nt
Filed under: Astyanax mexicanus (Mexican tetra)
Lineage: Eukaryota; Metazoa; Chordata; Actinopteri; Characiformes; Acestrorhamphidae
Description: lncRNA (ENSAMXG00005018032.1)
Source: RNAcentral